This is a long non-coding RNA of Mastomys coucha (southern multimammate mouse), 1741 nucleotides long. RefSeq lists it as uncharacterized. The record is from RefSeq and is a predicted model, not a curated record. NCBI's taxonomy places the organism in Eukaryota, Metazoa, Chordata, Mammalia, Rodentia, Muridae. The transcript has 2 exons.
GAGCCCACUUUAAAGCAAUGGUUUGAUGUCUACAUUCUUGCAGCAAGCUAAUAAUCCCCAAGCAAGGAUGCUGAGUGUUCUAGAGGCCGGUUUUACUUCCACAUCUUUAGUCAGUGACUUCUUGAGAUACUAUGAUACAAUGUAUCCCAAAGGUAUCAGUCAAGCCAGGCAAAACUCUGGUAUUUAUCAAUGGUGUGGCCUUGGGAAAAUUAAACUCUCUGAGCCCAGGUUUCUUCUUUCAUAAAACAUGGGCAGGCACUAAGGCCUGACUCGCAGGGCUUUUACAAGCAUUUAAUUGGAGAAGCUAUAACUAAAACACCUGGGCGGACACUGGGCGACUGCUCUCUGCUUGUUAUGUUGACAUAAUGAAUCCUUCCCUCUAAUGGUCACCUCUGUGAAGGUUCAUCACCAAACAGUUCAAACCAGGUAUCCUCCAAAAGCCCCCUCACUAACCCCGCGCGUAGCCCAGAGCCUGUACCCAACAUACAUUUGCGCUGGGCCUGGCCUGGUGUGAAGUACACUAGGAUGCAGGAAUGACAAAGAGCUUCCUUGAGUUCUUACAAGGAUGCAAGUUUCCAUCUGUGCUGUGGAGGAAAACUUAAGGGUCUCUGCCCGUGAUUCCCAAACCAGCUGCUUCACCGGGGAUGCAUAGAAAUGCAAAUUCCUGGGCUCACCCCCAGACUACAGAGAACAACAACUGGAAUUGAGGGGCCAACCUGUGUUUCCAUGAGCACUAAAAGUGAUUCCGGUAUUGGCCCCUCAGUUAAGAACGCUCAGCCCCUGCCUCUCCUUUGAUCUGUUACAGGUGCCUCCCCACUCCCAUAUCCCCACCCCCACACCCCUACCACCCCAGGGCAUCUGCCGGCUACCCUCUCCCUCACUCAGUCUGUUCCCAACAGCCAGAGCCUGAUGCAUCCGUCAUUCACUGGCUUUCCCGACUGCCAAAGUGUCUCUGGCUCACCUGGAAUAAAAGGCAUAGUUCUCGCAAGGUGAGAAGGCAGGCCUCGAAAGUCCUACCUCUCUCUCCCUUCCCUUCUGACUGCACCUCCUACCCUUCAGCGACCAUGGCUCCCAUUACGGCUUUCUCUCUCUCUUCCAGCCUUAGGCACAAUCCUUCCUCAGGAAUGUCUGUCCCACUGACAUCCCUAUUCCUUCUUUUCCCACCUCCUUCACAUCUAUAUUCAUGCGUUAAUCUCUCAUCGCUUUUAUUGAACCCUCAGACCCCAGACUCUUCCCGUGGCACACAGAGGUCUCUGAGACUCUUCUCUCCCCUGCCAAGGUGUGGGUGGCACAUUUCCCACUAAGCCCCAGCCUCUAGAUGCUGGGAAGCUCUGACCUCCGCCUGAGGUUUCUUUGUCCCCAGGGAAAAUGAAGGCCACCGCCAUGACCACACUCUGCCCACCCACCGCCAACCUCCUUGGUUUUUCCUGGCACCGUGGAUGACCUUACUCUUCUCCAGAAGACGUAGUUAGGAAAAGUCAGGAAAUAACAUAACAUUUGGUGUUCACUCUUCUAGAUGCAGGCCAGCCUUAUGCUAGAGAUGCCACAGGAUGGGUACAUGAAAACACUGCAGGCUGGUCAGGGGCUGUGAGAUGGAGUGACGGGUGCUCUACGCAUGGCGCUGGCAUAGCCUCGGUGUCUCCAUUGUUCCUGCCUUAAGUUCCUGCCUCGAGUUCCUGGCUUGGCUUCCCUCCAGGCCAGACUGUAAUCUGCAAGCCAAAUAAACCCUUCUCUCCCCCAA